AAUACAUCGGAAUCUACCCUGUCGUGGGGGAUAACCAAGCGAAAGCUUGGCUAAUACCGCAUACGACCGAGAGGUGAAAGCGGAGGACCGCAAGGCUUCGCGCGAUUGGAUGAGCCGAUGUCGGAUUAGCUAGUUGGCGGGGUAAGAGCCCACCAAGGCGACGAUCCGUAGCUGGUCUGAGAGGAUGAUCAGCCACACUGGGACUGAGACACGGCCCAGACUCCUACGGGAGGCAGCAGUGGGGAAUAUUGGACAAUGGGCGCAAGCCUGAUCCAGCAAUGCCGCGUGUGUGAAGAAGGCCUUCGGGUUGUAAAGCACUUUUAUCGGGAGCGAAAAGCGACGGAUUAAUACCCUGUCGUGCUGACGGUACCCGAUGAAUAAGCACCGGCUAACUUCGUGCCAGCAGCCGCGGUAAUACGAAGGGUGCAAGCGUUAGUCGGAAUUACUGGGC
This 451-nucleotide ribosomal RNA is filed under the name uncultured soil bacterium. RNAcentral's name for it is "bacterial SSU rRNA". It matches the Rfam family "Bacterial small subunit ribosomal RNA", at positions 112 to 559 of the family's 1533-position model. The record is from RNAcentral.